AGAGUAUACAAUCCAAAAUCUCAGCAAAAAGGAGAAGAGAUCACAACUAAAGUAUCUGGUCCAAACAGUAAAUAUACAUCACGGGUAUACAAAAAUAAAUAGGUACAACGGUGGUCUCUCUAUACAUAGGGACAUCACCCUCGGCCGUAGCCCGAGUAGCAAGGUGAUUGACUAGCACGCUCCUAGUAGUCCCUAGCUAGGCGCGACUCCCUUGCCACGAUCCCUAGCCUCUCCUGUAACAGGCUCUGUAAAAACAACCACCAAAAGGGCGUGAGAACUAUUAACAAUAGUUCCCAGUGGGUAAGCCGCCAGCCUCGGCGAAUUACACCACUAGGCUCAAGAUGUACUGAAUGGAAAUAAAAGCAGUAAUUUGCAUGAUAUAUUUUCAAUGCUAAUAAUUCAUAAGCCAAUGUUAACAAAUAAUGAAUAUGUAACAACAUGUGAUCAUAGCAUCAACAGUAAUGAAUCAACUGAAUAAUAGAAGCAUGGCUACUACUAUAAGCAUAAAUAUAGCAUAAGUGUGUAAGUAACUACUGUACACUGUAACUGGUAAUCAUUCAUUACUGUUCAAUAUCCUUUAGCACUUUCCUUUCAUUCACAGGGAUCUACUCAAGGUAGUCCAGCUUGCGCCGCGCCUAAUGGCCCCGUGGUAGUAUACACUCCCCACGGCAAUCCACUUCGGCACCCAAUCCCGCACGGGCGAGCAACUGUCGCGUAGGCCAACUCCGGAGUGCCGGCUUGUAGGGAGCUACCCUCACAAGCGUGUGCGAAUGAGCACAAUGGCAAGCAAGCGUAUUCCACAGUUCACAUGCCUCGAAUAUCAUAAUUUCAUUUGCAAUGUUCUUACCCUCGAUUCUCUGAUCGGAAUUUCAAUUCACAAAGAGUAACAAGAACUAGUGUCCACUAGAUUGUAAACAUGUAAGAGUAAUGCUAAAUCACAUGGCAUUAUAAUCUUUCCANNNNNNNNNNNNNNNNNNNNNNNNNAUGAAAUGUAACGCCUUACUAACUUUCGGAUGUCCGUUGUCGGCGCCAACGUGACCCUCUGCAAAGGUUAGUACUUGCACAUCCCGAUCAAAACUCCUACUAUUCGGCGAGUUUAUAAGUACCAAGUCAAAGUACUUCCGCUAACAACAACCGUCGACUAGACAUCUCUCUCCGAGCCUAUCUUAUUAGUCCAACCAGCCUAAGGUUUGCAAAGGUCUACUAAGACUCAACCCUAGCUCUGAUACCACUAUAAUCUGUCACGCCCGAAGGUACCAGCGGAAGCGAUAUCCGGCACGUGCACAGACCCGCCAUUACACCUACAGUAUUAGGCGUCUACAAGAACACAGUCGCAUAGGAAGUAAAAACAAAGAAAGUCCUAUCCUGAUAUCAGAGCAAAUACAAGUCAAAAUUACUAUCAACAAAGAAGGGCAAGAGUAUACAAUCCAAAUAUCUCAGCAAAAAGGAGAAGAGAUCACAACUAAAGUAUCUGGUACCAACAGUAAAUAUACCAUCACGGCGUAUACAAAAAUAAAAUAGAUACAGGGUGGUCUCUCAUUAAUACAUAGGCCCGACAUCACCCGUCGGCCGUUCUAGCCCGAGUAGCAAGGUGAUUGAUAGCACGCUCAUAAAUAAAGUUCCAAGCUAGAAGCGACCUCCCUUGCCACGAUCCUAGCCAUCUACCUGUAACAGGCUCUGUAAAAAC
Molecule: long non-coding RNA, 1687 nt
Filed under: Ananas comosus (pineapple)
Lineage: Eukaryota; Viridiplantae; Streptophyta; Magnoliopsida; Poales; Bromeliaceae
Description: long non-coding RNA (ACOM_LNC022286)
Source: RNAcentral